This 156-nucleotide ribosomal RNA is filed under the name Nelumbo nucifera (sacred lotus). RNAcentral describes it as "5.8S ribosomal RNA". It matches the Rfam family "5.8S ribosomal RNA". Rfam says of the family: 5.8S ribosomal RNA (5.8S rRNA) is a component of the large subunit of the eukaryotic ribosome. It is transcribed by RNA polymerase I as part of the 45S precursor that also contains 18S and 28S rRNA. Functionally, it is thought that 5.8S rRNA may be involved in ribosome translocation. Lineage: Eukaryota; Viridiplantae; Streptophyta; Magnoliopsida; Proteales; Nelumbonaceae. The record is from Rfam by way of RNAcentral.
GACUCUCGGCAAUGGAUAUCUCAGCUCUCACAUCGAUGAAGAACAUAGCGAAAUGCGAUACUUGGUGUGAAUUGCAAAAUCCCGAGAACCAUCGAGUCUUUGAACGAAAGUUGCGCCCGAGGCCCCUGGGCCGAGGGCACGCCUGCCUGGGCAUCA